Molecule: non-coding RNA, 30 nt
Filed under: Cricetulus griseus (Chinese hamster)
Lineage: Eukaryota; Metazoa; Chordata; Mammalia; Rodentia; Cricetidae
Source: RNAcentral
ACUUGCAUUGGUGGUUCAGUGGUAGAAUUC